RNAcentral lists this long non-coding RNA (672 nucleotides) under Pongo abelii (Sumatran orangutan). RNAcentral's name for it is "lincRNA". Lineage: Eukaryota; Metazoa; Chordata; Mammalia; Primates; Hominidae. The record is from RNAcentral.
AGAAAAAGAGACUGCAUACAACGUUUCAUUCAUGUUUUGCCAGGCUCCCAAAUAAGCAAGAUACAUUUGUUGCAGCGGUCUCAUAUUUGUAAGUCUGUGGAAAAACCUGAAAAUGUUUUUUUCUUGAAAAUUUUUUGGAAAAAAAAGUAAAAUGUCAUUAGGAGUGAGAAUCAGGAAUGAUGGAUUCAGGGUCUAGUUGCAAGACUCAUCACAGGCCAUUAACCUCUGAAAAGCCUUUAUCUGCUUCGCUUUGUUACAUAUCAGACACGGAUAUUACUUACAAGUAUUGAAUGAUCCACUCAGUAAACACCAGCUAUGCAGGAGGUGCUACCUUAGCAAUGGGAGCUUCAGUCUGGGAGGAGAGCGGGACGUAUAAGCAAAUAAAUACAUCACGUUUCCCACAGGGCGCGCAUUUCGUGUUCAUCUUUGUCCCACUGGAUCUGUCCAAACUUUUCAUUUGACAGAUAAGGAAAACGAAGUUCAGACGCUUGAGUGACACAGCUAAUUAGUGGCAAGGCUGAGACUUUUGACCAGACAGCCUGACUUUUAGUUUCUACAAUGCAUGUGAACUCCUCCUAAACCCCAUUUAUUUUCUCAUUUCAGACAACUGCGCAAUAACACUGCUAAGAUAAAAGCGCUCUGAUUAAUGCACACUGAAAUUAAGCAGGUUGA